RNAcentral lists this transfer RNA (62 nucleotides) under Reduvius gregoryi. Its description in RNAcentral is "tRNA-His". Lineage: Eukaryota; Metazoa; Arthropoda; Insecta; Hemiptera; Reduviidae. The record is from RNAcentral.
GUUUGAAUAGUUUAAUUAGAAUAGUAAUUUGUGGAGUUACAGGUGCAAUAAUGCUUUAAAUC